Maniola jurtina (meadow brown) is the source of this 8169-nucleotide RNA transcript. It is a transcript of the gene named protein held out wings, with no coding region annotated. Lineage: Eukaryota; Metazoa; Arthropoda; Insecta; Lepidoptera; Nymphalidae. The record is from RefSeq and is a predicted model, not a curated record. The transcript has 8 exons.
CGCAGCGCUAUAUUCGCCCACAACUUCAGUUCGGUCAACUUCGUCAUUUAGUGGUGACCGAAACUUCGACGUGUGUGGUAGUGAAGUUAACUUUUCUAACAUAGUACUCUCACAAAAUAACAAUACUAAAGUACAAUCACCAAUUGAUCGUGUUCUUUACAAACAUUUAACGUGGCAUAAGUUGUAUAAAUAGUAAUCAAAAUGUGUGAUAAUACCAAUCCUUCGACACAAAGUAUAGCGGACUACUUAGCUCAGUUGCUCAAAGACAGGAAGCAACUGGCUGCCUUCCCGAAUGUUUUCAUGCACAUGGAACGACUUCUGGAUGAAGAAAUAGCAAAAGUACGAGCCAGUUUAUUCCAAAUAAAUGGAGUCAAGAAAGAACCUUUAGUUCUACCAGAAGCAGAAGGCAUGGUCACCACACUAACAGAAAAAGUAUAUGUACCAGUAAAAGAACAUCCAGAUUUCAACUUUGUGGGAAGGAUUCUUGGACCCAGAGGUAUGACGGCAAAACAGUUAGAACAAGAAACUGGAUGCAAAAUUAUGGUCAGGGGCAAAGGAUCUAUGAGGGAUAAGAAAAAGGAGGAUGCGAACAGGGGGAAGCCAAAUUGGGAGCAUCUGGCUGACGACUUACACGUCCUGCUCACAGUCGAAGACACGGAGAAUCGGGCGAAGAUAAAGUUGGCCAGAGCCGUUGAAGAAGUCAAACGCCUUCUAAUUCCUCAAGCGGACGGUGAAGAUGAAUUAAAGAAACGCCAGCUCAUGGAACUGGCCAUCAUAAACGGCACAUACCGGGAUUCUACCACGAAAGCCGUCGUGCCCGUCAACGCCAUUGAUAAUGACGAGGGAUCCACAGCUGAUGAAGAAUGGAGACGCGUCGCUGCAGAAACUCAGCGGCUGCUUGGGCCAGGGGGCGGAGUGGGCAGUGUGGCUUUGCGUAACCCCGCGCCGCUCGGUGCUCCGCUGAUACUGUCCCCGCGCAUGUCUGCAGCCCCCGGGGCCCAGGCGGGACUACUGAACGGAACGGGGGCUGGCGCCGCAGCAGGCCUCCUGUCCCCUGGCGAACCCUCGCACCAGCUGAUCUACGCGUCGCCGUACGCAGACUACGCCAACUACGCGGCGCUGACGGGCAAUCCGCUUCUCACUGAAGCGUACGCCGCCGCUGACCAUACGGCGUCGAGAUACCUACUUGCUGGCUUUUGACAUUGGCCACAAAUGCAGACCACCAUAAGAUACGGCAGGCUUCCAACUUCACCGUUUCGGCCUUCGCAUCAUUUUUAGGACCCAGCAUUUAGUAGGCGAAAACAACCUUGCCACAGACUAACUAUUAUAAACGUAUAACUUUUUUUUACUAGUCUCACCGUUAGUCUCAUAUUUAAAAAAAAAGUAAAGACAGAAUCGGCUAACUUUGAUACUUAUCUAAACAAAAACUUUUUUUUUAUAUUUAAAUUUUAAUAGAAUAAUAUGUUUGCAAACCUAGACUUCAUAAAUUAAUUAAUUAAUUGCUUAGUUAAAAAUAGACUUUGUCAAGGUUAUUUUUAUGCGUGCUGGCUGGGUCUUCCGUCCCUGACAGAUUUUCACACGCCUCUUAUAAAGUCAUAAGAGCUAUUAACGUAGUUUAAGUAUUAAAAUAAGGACGAUUUAGUUUAGUAACUCGAACAUUAUUGUACCUACGUUAUGUUUUUAAUUUUAAAAACCGACUUUGUUUUUUCUCUUUAGCUGUUUUGUACAGUCAUACAAAGUAUAUUUUGUUUCCGAACGAACAAAGAUUUAUUUAUUAUUAUCAUAAAUUAUUAUUUUAAUCAAAUAUUUAUUGCAAAUUUUAUUUUACCGUUGUAAUAGUAUUUUAUAUUAUGGCAGUUGGUGAUUUACGUAAACGAUAUCGAGUAUCGAGUAUAGAGAGCACUUUUGCAACUGCCAGUUAAUUUCUCUAGUUACCGAUAUUACACAUACAAUUAGGUAAUUAGUAGUUUGGAUUAUAUUAUUAUGCAGUAAAUAUUUAUUUAUAUUUUAUUACCUACAACACUCUAUAGUUGCAUCGAACAAAACACCAUUCUCUAUUGUGAUAACCCUCGCUUGUAAUACCACUAAUCUAUUAACAAAAUGUGUCCACACAUAACGUUAUAUUUUGGAUCGUCGUCGUAUAAAAAUAACAAAGUUAUAUAUCUACACACAUAACGCGCAUGCAUUGUGAUCUGAUCCUUGUUAGAUUUUUCCGUAUGUGAUUAACAUAAAGUGUUAUUUUUUUUAUUAACACUUAAAACUUCUGAAUAACAAUAUUGUUCAGACAAACAAUCCAGUGAUUACAAGCAAAAGGGACCAAAUAAAAAAUAGAUUUUUUACAACAAACAACACAAAUGUUAUAUUUUAACUAAGCAUUAACAACACUGACUACUAAAAAUAUUACAACCAUUUAAAUUGUAGACAUGAAAAACAACAUUCUAGACAAAUACAAAUUUUCCACAUUAUAACGAUAGCGUAACAUUAUUUUUAAAAUAACUAAAAGCAUGCGAACGAAAAUGUUAUAUUAUUGUAAUAACAUUUAAGUCGUAAUUUAUUAAUUUAUUAGCCAUAAUAUUAUUAUAUUUAUGAACAUACCAUAGGAUUAAGUAUUAUUUUUAUCUUUUAAAGAUUUAGUUUAGGAAAGAGUGAGCUUUAUGAAAAGAACAUUAAUCAGCCGUUAAGUAUAGGUAUUAACUAUACUGUAUAGGUAUAUUCACAAAUAUUUUUGUCCAAAUCAUAUUAUUUAAAACAGACUUUCACUUGUACCUUGAGCGGCUGUAUAAAUACCUGAGAUAUUAAUGUUUUAUUUUGUCUUUCCAAAGCAAUACAAUUUAUUAUUGGUAAAUUCUAGGCGUUAGGUAUGCAUAAUAAUAGUAUAAAUUAGUCAUACUGCCAAAACUACUCGUCGUUAAAUAUUAAAUAAUACGAACACAAUAUGUUGGCAGUAUUUUUCAUUAUGUAUCUUGCAAAUCAAAGGUACUAUGAUUAAACUAAUGAGAUUAAAUUUCUUUUCAGCAUUUAUUUUUAUCGGCUACCCAGGUUGUUAGAUAUAUCGAUUUAGAAUGCAGAUUAUUUAAAAUCAAACCUUUUUUUCAAACUUUCUCUUCAUUCCUUUACUAACAUUAUUUUAAUUUGUUUAGCUAUUUGGAUUUUUAAUGUAGCCUGGGCAUGCCAUUGGAUGCCUAUUGGUUGGAAGUUUAUAGUGCUGUAUUCAGACACAGAUGAUAAUGUCCUAUGCCGCUAGGUCUCGUGCGGCGGGCGGGUCGGCUGGCGCAAGUGAGGGAGCACCCUUACCAGCGCACUGCCUUACCAGCGCCUUAAUUCCCGCGAAACGCUCUCACGCCGCCAUUUUGUUCACAAGGUGCGUGCUAACGGCGCCGGGGCACUAACAGGAGCCGCGGCCGGCGCCCGCACCGGACCCUAUGUCGCCGCGUAACAUUCUCAUCGGAACAUCGCCGCCAUGUAGCUAUAGCUGUUGGGCCUUUCACGUUAACAUGUACUAUGUAUUUUAAUAGUCUAACUAUUAACAUUUAUAUGCCUGUUAUGUUUAUAACAAGAUGAUCUUUAUUAACAUUUUAUAUUAUUUUUAGUGGCACACGCCAUCGACUAUAUUUACUGUAUUGUAACAUUGUACUUCUGUUGUCGCUUGACCAUGUUGUUGUUGAAGCACGAGUGUUAGUUAGGUUACCCUACCUACGGCGGCGCUAAAUUUAUUUAACGUACGUUUAGUGUUUAGUUAUUUAUUAGAUCUAGAUAUUAUAUUUAUAUAAUAUAGUUUCUCGAAAUAUUUAAAAGUAUCAUUUAAAUCGAUCAAUAAUCAAAUUUGGCGCCGUUAUUUUACAUAUUUAGAGAAGUUGAUAGAUUUUCAAAAAUCUAAAUUCUUAUUAAAUUGACUCAGUUCGGUAGACAUAAAUGAAUUUUAUAAAAGUAUAGUUAGCUGACUGCUAUCUGAAUGCAUGAUAAUUAUUAUAUGUAGCACAGAAUUUGGGUAAGUUUUUUUCCCUUCACAGUUUUUAUAUGAAUUGUAAAAUGAGUAUAGUACAAAUUACAUAAAUGAUGGAAUACGAGAGGUGAGAAAUUCGCAUCUUCAGAUAAUCAUCUUGAGAGGAAGGAUAGCGGUUACUAAAUGUAAGUAUGAAUUCAAAAAUUUUAUAGAUCGAUAUUUCAUUAUUAGACUGUUACGAUCAAGAUGUGGUAGUGUAAUAUAAAUUAUAAUAUGUUCAUUUACUCAUCAAUUCCACCCACAAUUUUGGCAACACAUUGCAACUUUAUGCCAAAGAGUAUACUGUACGUUUGACGCAGUAAUUUUUCAGAUCUUUUACUGAACAAAAAUUUAAAAUGUCUUCCUUAGAGGGUACUUUUAUACUAUCUACAUUGCUAGAAAUAUUGACAAAACGUUCGGUAUUUUUUAACCCCGACGUAAACAGGUGUUAGAUAUAAGAUUGACCGUUUCGUGUCUAUGGCAUCGUAACGCUCAAACGGAUGGACCGAUUUGAAUGCUGUUUUUUAUUCGAAAGCCUGUUUAAUCGAGAUGGUUUUAAGCUAUAUUUAAUGAAAAAAUGUUCAGCCGUUUGAGGAUUAUCAGCUCGUUUUUUAAGCCUGUUUAGGGAUCUUGUUUAUAAAGAAUGAAAUCUGGUUUAUAAUAGGUGCGUGCACUUAUUUUAUCAACUCGAUCCCGACUACACUGCAGUAUGCUAACCUUGACUUGAUUCUGCAACCUGGAUAGUCUGCAAACUAUCUCUCUUUGAAAACUUACAGCAGAUUUUUCGCAUGAUUUGGUCUUGAAAUUGGUUUAAAAGUAGCGACCAGGGUCUUUUGAUGGGGCUGGAAUAUGGUUACAAGGUGAUGGUGUGAGAGGAUGAGAGUUGACGUAAAUAUCUAGGAAUUAAACCUUGCUAGCCAUCUCUCGCCUACGAGCCGUCUCAAGUAGAGCCGGGUAAAGUAGAUAGAAUAAAAGUGACCACGCACGAUAUAUUUGAUGAGUAAAUGAUAUGAAUUUGUGUUUAUUUUUAGCUGAUAUAAAGAUUUAAAAGUAGUUAAUCAUUAUAUUUUAUACUUUGUAGUGCUUAUUAUUUAUACAUAACAAAUCAAAUAUUGCGCAUCCCAAGUGCCUUAAUAAUGUACAAUGUUUUCACUUUUGUGGUUCUAUAAAAAACUGUUAAUAUUGAUUUUAUUUAAUGGUAAAGUUAGAAGAGAUUAAAUUAUUGUUAACUUUGCUAUGUUAAUGUUUAUACUAUUUGAGGAAUUCUCGAUGAAGUAGCUUAUUAUAUAGUUUAUUGGCGUUAAAAAAUAGCGUUCUCUUGCUCUGCUAUCUGACCAAAGACUUGACCGUGGAUCAUAACGCUGAAAAUAAAGCUUAGUUUUAAAUUUUAUAUAAAUAACGAUAAGGUCAGAACUUACAUCGAAGAGUCUAUUUUCUCAACGCGAAUGAGCUAUAAAUCAUCAUAAUUUAUAAGUUUAGUAGAUUGAGUAGUUUUGAAAGUAUAUUAUAAUUAUUAUUAUUAUUAUUAUAAGCCUUUGUUGCAAUCUCGAGAGAGAAUCUCUUGUAGUUACAAACCGAAUAUAUCAUAGAAGUAUUUGCUUACAACUCUAUCAUUUAGAUUUUUUGAGAGUUAUACUUAUUUGGAUCUGUAUAAUGAAAAUAUACCUGCUUGUCGAAAGUUAUUUGGUCAGCCCAAUCAGCUUCAAGAUAAUUUUGCAUUGGACAAUGGUCUAAUAAGGCGCCAUAGGAAGGGCUCACCCGAUAAUUCGCGAUGUAGGGUAAGUAAAUUAUUAUUGAAAGCAUUAAUAAUACAUAAGAUUUUUAGUAAAACAAAUCGACUUUUAUACUUAUAUUAUCGCAGAGUUAGUAUAGCAAUCGCAACUGUGGCAAUUAUUUUCGUAUAUAAUAUGUAGUUAAUUGUUAUGUACAUAGCUAACAUAAUAAUAUUGUUAAAAGCAAUAAUAUUUCAAUAAUAUACUAUUUUAACGCUAGUGCAAUAGAUGUUAUUUAAAAUUGAUAUUUUAUAGAGAAUUUUCAACUCACUAUCUAUUACCUUACGUUUGAGUGAAAAUAAAAUAUUUUUUGCGAGAUCUGACGUUGAGAUUAAUGAAAUAUUAUAAGAAGCGUUUAAUCGUCCUAUAAUCUUUAAAACAAAAAAAAAAUUAACAUUAAAGUUUAUUUAGAAUUAAGCAAAAUUAAAAAAAAAAAUUACUCAACAACGUGAAUCAAAUUGGCGUGCAUCGCCUUAAAAAACUCAUUGUUUAUUUGAACAAAAAUAUACAGUUUUCAGAACAUCGGCAGAAGUUUAAAUCAAAUAUUUUUUAAGAUUUUUUUAUUUACAACAUGAAAUUUAAUUGUAUGAAAAUUUUAAAAUCCGUGAAGUUGUUAACACACUCCGUCCAUGAUUACUUCAUAAUUUAAGUACUUAAUAUGUUGGUCUCUUUGUAUGACCGUAAAUACACAUCUGUGUUAACAUUUUUUUGAAUCUAUUAUCUUCUCUCGCAAUACCUAAUAAUCACCCCAAGCCACCCCUUUUUCUCACGACUGCUCAAAAAAGAAGUGUAAUGUUUUUAGGUUUCAUAUUGUGUCUAUAUAUGAGAGUUUCUUGAUACCUAUAUUAACUUCUAAAUGCCUUUAAAUCAAUAUGGCGACUGUAUGGCGCUAUUUUCAAAAAUGUGAAAAUUUUUACGUUUUAUUUCGUUUUUUGGGAGGGCGGUCGUGUUUUUUAAUUUUUUUACUACCUACAACUUUUUUAUCGGUUCGAUAUUAAGGUGCGACAAGGUAAAUUACUUUUUGCCUCUUCAUUUUCAUUAAGGAUGAAUUAUUUUUAUUAAAAACAUUACUUACUAUGAUUUUUUUCUUUGAAAACGAUUUCUCUUUUUGAAAAAUCUCAGAACGUUGUGCGUUUAUCCAACUAAUUUUCUUCUUGAUGAUCUGAUUUUUUCCUUAAACAUCCACCAUACUUUAUUAUGGUUAUAGAUUAUAGCAAUAACUACGAAUAUGAAUUAAAACGUGGACAUAAAUAACACACGAUUAAAAUGGCUAUUAAUUUUUUGAAUUAAAUAAAAACAUAAAAUCCAAAAAAAAAUAUGUAAUUUUUAAGUCCGUUUUUUAAUUCUUAGCUGUAUUUUGUACAAAACUGAAUAGUAAGAAAAAGCAUUUACAAAAUAACUUGAGGCCAUAGCUUUGGAUGAAAACUCAACAAGGUCUAACCCGAAGGUUAAUAAUUACGCGACACUCUUGGAAUCAUAGACCAUAAAAAGUUAAGUAAUAUUCUAAGGAUCUGACAUGUGAGUCAAGCUAUUGUAAUUUUUAAUUUUCAAAUAAUGAAUUGAACAUCUGUAAAAAUCAAUCAAUGUUGUUUUGAUUGCAAGUGUGUUGCGCAAUUACACCCUUAAAUAACAAUAGUUGAUUGUGAUUAAAAGCUAAUAACGUACAAAGAUUGUGAGGGUCUGUUAUCUGUUAAUAGUUAUUUUACGUUGUUUCAAAACGAAUACUUUGCGUAAUGAGUUUCGUGGAACCAUAAACAAAUAGUGAGCUGUUAAAUUUUAAGAUGGCUGCCAUUUCUUAAUUUAAUUAUGUGAAAUAGUUUAAAAAUAAUUCUGAAUAUCCUUUUGAAUAUUCAAAUUCAAGAACAGUUUAUAGUGGUGUCUCCACCAUUGACCUAUUAUGAACUAGUAAUAAUAGAUCAAUGGCCUACACUCAUUAAAAUAUUAUCUACGUUUAAAAAAUAUAAAUAUUUAUUACCUAUGGGUUUCUUCUUUAUGGCUGAGUCUGACUCGCUUUUGUCUGGUUUUUAGUUUUAUUAAAGUGAUCAGCCAUCUUUCCUAAUCUACGUUUAGCCACUAAUGAAUUAUGCGGUUCAUUCAUUGUUUAUGUUUGAAACAUUUUUGUGCCAUCAUCAGACGGACUUUCAUGUUAUUUUUUAUUUGUACUUAUACUUUAAAAAUGGCAAAUCACACAAGUGCCUUAAAAUUAACUUUGUAAAUAUUUUAUAUACCUAUUAUUAAUUUUUUCAAAGUAUUAUAUAAAGGAGAAUAAAUUCUUACGAUUGUUUUCCAAAAACAAAAUAGAGUAUAUCUACUUUUAUAGUUUAGUUAAGUGAGAUUGUGCAUAUUACUUAUGUCUGUUUUGAUGUGUGUUUAAGAUUGAUUUGGCAUUAGUAAAUAUAUUAUUUAGAAAAUGUA